Molecule: ribosomal RNA, 500 nt
Filed under: uncultured bacterium
Lineage: Bacteria
Description: partial 16S ribosomal RNA
Rfam family: Bacterial small subunit ribosomal RNA
Source: RNAcentral
AUUGAACGCUGGCGGCAUGCCUUACACAUGCAAGUCGAACGGCAGCACGGGAGCAAUCCUGGUGGCGAGUGGCGAACGGGUGAGUAAAGUAUCGGAACGUGCCCAGUCGUGGGGGAUAACGUAGCGACAGUUACGCUAAUACCGCAUACGAUCUAUGGAUGAAAGCGGGGGAUCGCAAGACCUCGCGCGAUUGGAGCGGCCGAUAGCAGAUUAGGUAGUUGGUGGGGUAAAGGCUCACCAAGCCGCCGAUCUGUAGCUGGUCUGAGAGGACGACCAGCCACACUGGGACUGAGACACGGCCCAGACUCCUACGGGAGGCAGCAGUGGGGAAUUUUGGACAAUGGGCGAAAGCCUGAUCCAGCCAUGCCGCGUGCAGGAUGAAGGCCUUCGGGUUGUAAACUGCUUUUGUACGGAACGAAAAGGUUUGGCCUAAUAAGCUGAGCUCAUGACGGUACCGUAAGAAUAAGCACCGGCUAACUACGUGCCAGCAGCCGCCGUAA